This 312-nucleotide ribosomal RNA is filed under the name Streptomyces rubellomurinus subsp. indigoferus. Its description in RNAcentral is "bacterial SSU rRNA". It matches the Rfam family "Bacterial small subunit ribosomal RNA", at positions 214 to 538 of the family's 1533-position model. The record is from RNAcentral. Lineage: Bacteria; Bacillati; Actinomycetota; Actinomycetes; Kitasatosporales; Streptomycetaceae.
GGCGAUGCAGGUUGGCCUCUCGGCCUAUUAGCUUGUUGGUGCAGUAACGGCCCACCAAUGCGACGACGGGUAGCCGGCCUGAGAGGGCGACCGGCCACACUGGGACUGAUACACGGCCCAGACUCCUACGGGAGGCAGCAGUGUGGAAUAUUGCACAAUGGGCGAAAGCCUGAUGCAGCGACGCCGCGUGAGGGAUGACGGGCUUCGGGUUGUACACCUCUUUCAGCUGGGAAGAAGGGCAAGUGAGGGUACCUGCAGGAGAAGCACCGGCUAACUACGGGCCAGCAGCCGCGGUAAUACGUAGGGUGCGAG